GAUGAACGCUGGCGGCGUGCCUAAUACAUGCAAGUCGAGCGAACGGACGAGAAGCUUGCUUCUCUGAUGUUAGCGGCGGACGGGUGAGUAACACGUAGAUAACCUACCUAUAAGACUGGGAUAACUUCGUGAAACCGGAGCUAAUACCGGAUAAUAUUUUGAACCGCAUGGUUCAAAAGUAAAAGACGGUCUUGCUGUCACUUAUAGAUGGAUCCGCGCUGCAUUAGCUAGUUGGUAAGGUAACGGCUUACCAAGGCAACGAUGCAUAGCCGACCUGAGAGGGUGGUCGGCCACACUGGAACUGAGACACGGUCCAGACUCCUACGGGAGGCAGCAGUAGGGAAUCUUCCGCAAUGGGCGAAAGCCUGACGGAGCAACGCCGCGUGAGUGAUGAAGGUCUUCGGAUCGUAAAACUCUGUUAUUAGGGAAGAACAUAUGUGUAAGUAACUGUGCACAUCUUGACGGUACCUAAUCAGAAAGCCACGGCUAACUACGUG
RNAcentral lists this ribosomal RNA (497 nucleotides) under uncultured bacterium. Its description in RNAcentral is "partial 16S ribosomal RNA". It matches the Rfam family "Bacterial small subunit ribosomal RNA", at positions 28 to 507 of the family's 1533-position model. The record is from RNAcentral.